GAGUGUGGAUUGUUAUCACAAGUUUACUUUGCAGAGGUAAAAUAAAGCUUAGUUGCUUCGCAUUCU
This 66-nucleotide transfer RNA is filed under the name Posthodiplostomum centrarchi. RNAcentral's name for it is "tRNA-Cys". Lineage: Eukaryota; Metazoa; Platyhelminthes; Trematoda; Diplostomida; Diplostomidae. The record is from RNAcentral.